UUACGGCCACAUCGCGAUGAAGUACCGGUUCCUGUACGAUAACCGAAUUUAAGCAACGCUGUGCCUGGUCAAUACCUGGACGGGUGACCUCUUUGGAAUACCAGGUGCUAUAA
This is a non-coding RNA of Acanthosepion pharaonis, 113 nucleotides long. The record is from the annotation of a GenBank genome assembly. NCBI's taxonomy places the organism in Eukaryota, Metazoa, Mollusca, Cephalopoda, Sepiida, Sepiidae.